AAUCUCCUUUGUGUGUUUGUGGGGGUAAGCCCCGUGCCAGGACGGUGCUCGGCCUCCCGCCCCAUGUUGGCCCCCCACCCCAUGCAGUCCAGCAGUGGCCCUGCCUGACCCCUCCGGUGAUCUGACCACUUCAUUGUCCUCUUGCUCUUUGCCUUUUCAGCCAUUUUGCUUGCCUUUGGCUACAAGCUCUCAGUUGUAAAGAUCGGCUCUGAGAACACAGGGAUUCUUCUCAUUAACUUUUUGUUCAAAACACAGUCCCAGCACUCUCCACUUAAAGGAAGUUCUUUGAACACGCUGGAGGGAGAACUGAGUGAGGAUGCUUGAACCAGAGCCUCCCAUGUGGAGAGGCAAGGACAGGGACUCGGAAGCCACCCUCCAGGGAGUGGAGUUUGGAGCAAAGGGGGACAGAGCUCCAGAUUGAAGGCAGGGAGGGAGCAGCAGUCCUGCCUGUCCAGGACUCCUCUCCACUCACCCCAACCUUAGCUAACCUCAGAUAAGGUUCUUCAACCCAGCAGAGCAGGAGAAAGGGGCUGGGAAAUGGCUGAACUGACCUCCUACCUCCUGACCGGCUUUAAGCAUAUGCACUGCAUGAGAUCAGAAAGUCAACAAGUGAAUCAAUGAACAAAAGCGUGAGUAAAUGCAAUCGGGUGUGAGUGGAGGUGUGCUCUGAAAACGACUCCCCCAUGCUCUGCCGAACGGAACCUGAGAAAGUGUCUGUUUAUCAGCUGCUGCCGACCUAACCCAGUGGUCCACCGUAAGCACCAAUUCUUACACUCUCUGGUCCACAAGUCAACUGUGAUUUGGCUGAUGAUCAGGGCUGGGUUCCACCAAGCAGGCAUUGAGUGGCUCAUGUGGGAGCAUCCCAGUUUCCUUCUAAGCUAUGGGCAGCCACCUGGGCAUAUCUUCUCACAGCCAGCCCCCUGCAGCAACAGCGAGCCAUACUCUGUUGUGAGUUCUUUACUGCAGCAGUGGGCAGAUGUUCAUGUUCUGUCACCUCCUCUGACGUGCACUGACCAAACCAAGUCACUUGAUCAGACCCUGGCUGACCAUGUGGGCAGUGCUCUCCACCCCCAGUGUGAAGCCAGACAACAAUCCAACCACCAUGCAAACUCUGCCCUAAACAGUGACCCAGUCAAACUUCAGGCAGCAGUGGUCACAGUCGGUGGGAUUUUCAUUGUCUUAGCGUUACUUAAUUGCAAUAAAACCAAGGGGAAAGCCACCUAGGCAGGCUCCCCCAGAGCCAUCUGUGGGGGUGGGCGGUACAAGUCAGUGACACCAACAGUGCUGGGCGACUGGCCUGGGGCUUCCCGCCAGCACAGAGAUGUGGUAUGAGAUCAUCUCUCGCUUCCAGCAGGUGGGUCCUGAACACAUUUUAACUCCAAUUUCAACUUUUAACCGCAGCUGUUGCUGUCGCUGGGGACCUCAUCUCUGCCCACUGCUGCAGUAAAGAACUCACAACCUGUUGUCUGGAAUUUCUGAAUCAGCGCCGCAGAGAGCCAGGCGGAUUAAGAACCAAGACAGGCUCCCUUCUAGGGGUGGGUGCUGGGCUCAGGUGGCCGGGGGCCUGGCAUCCUGAAGGCACACAGCAGUUCCAGAAGGACCCUGGGUCCCCUACAGAGGAGAAGAGAAGUGGGUGUGGCUGUAGCAGAGGAGGAUAGAAGGUGCUAGAUGCACGAUGCAGCCCAGGACUUGCCUGUACCACCUGGCAUUGGUGAAAAGGUGCUUGCCAGCUUGCCUUAGGCUUCUUCGGUUCCUAAGUGUGUCCUUACACUACACAGUGAGGAGGGUCAGGUGUCAGAUGGGAAGACCCAGACCCCUGGGCCCACGACUAGCUCAGGGAUCCCCAGCAUCGGACGAGGAGGACAGUCAGCUGCACCUGCAACUGAUGGGUCAAGUCUCCUCUUUCUCCUGUUCUUCCACUAUAUGGAAAGGAGGCUUAUCAGUCAGGACACUGACAUAAGAGAGAAAGCACCACCAAACUGGGUAGUGUGGGGAGAUUUUAAUGGAGAAUAGGCAGGCAAAGGUGUGGGUAGGUAAAGAAAGCUACAGAGGACAAUGAGUCCCACUGGGGCUAGCAGGGACCCUGUGCAGGGUCAGGGGUGAGAGAGUUGUCUAGAAUCUGGAGAUGGGGUGGUCACUGGGAAUGCAAAGGAGCCUACCUGAGAGAGAUGCAGGCACCCUGUGUCACCCCACAGGUGGAAUAAACACUCUGCCUUACUUUCCUUCCU
Non-coding RNA from Ictidomys tridecemlineatus (thirteen-lined ground squirrel), 2228 nucleotides. The record is from RefSeq and is a predicted model, not a curated record. Lineage: Eukaryota; Metazoa; Chordata; Mammalia; Rodentia; Sciuridae.